UAGAGUUAUAAAACUCCCAACCCAUGUGAACUUACCAUUGUUGCCUCGGCGGAGCCUACCCUGUAGCCAGCUACCCUGUAGCGACCUACCCGGUAGCGGUCCGCCGGUGGAUUUUCAAACUAUUGUUAUUUUGUGUCGUCUGAGCGUCUUAUUUUAAAUAAGUCA
Molecule: unclassified non-coding RNA, 165 nt
Filed under: uncultured Xylariales
Lineage: Eukaryota; Fungi; Ascomycota; Sordariomycetes; Xylariales
Description: sequence contains ITS1
Source: RNAcentral